UGGUUCAACAAUGGCACGAAG
This 21-nucleotide unclassified non-coding RNA is filed under the name Mus musculus (house mouse). Its description in RNAcentral is "oocyte_clustered_small_RNA10285". Lineage: Eukaryota; Metazoa; Chordata; Mammalia; Rodentia; Muridae. The record is from RNAcentral.